This 389-nucleotide ribosomal RNA is filed under the name uncultured bacterium. Its description in RNAcentral is "bacterial SSU rRNA". It matches the Rfam family "Bacterial small subunit ribosomal RNA", at positions 29 to 420 of the family's 1533-position model. The record is from RNAcentral.
AUUGAACGCUGGCGGCAUGCCUUACACAUGCAAGUCGAGCGGCAGCGCGGGGGCAACCCUGGCGGCGAGCGGCGGACGGGUGAGUAAUACAUCGGAACGUGUCCUUUCGUGGGGGAUAACCAGUCGAAAGACUGGCUAAUACCGCAUGAGAUCUCACGAUGAAAGCGGGGGACCGCAAGGCCUCGCGCGAUUGGAGCGGCCGAUGUCGGAUUAGCUAGUUGGCGGGGUAAAAGCCACCAAGGCUACGAUCCGUAGCUGGUUUGAGAGAACGACCAGCCACACUGGGACUGAGACACGGCCCAGACUCCUACGGGAGGCAGCAGUGGGGAAUUUUGGACAAUGGGGCGAACCCUGAUCCAGCCAUGCCGCGUGUGUGAAGAAGGCCUCGG